Molecule: transfer RNA, 74 nt
Filed under: Crassvirales sp.
Lineage: Duplodnaviria; Heunggongvirae; Uroviricota; Caudoviricetes; Crassvirales
Description: tRNA-Thr
Rfam family: tRNA
About the family: Transfer RNA (tRNA) molecules are approximately 80 nucleotides in length. Their secondary structure includes four short double-helical elements and three loops (D, anti-codon, and T loops).
Source: RNAcentral
GCCUCCUUAGUGUUAAUGGUUUAGCAAGCCUGUCUUGUAAACAGGAAGAGAGGGUUCAAAUCCUUCAGGAGGCU